RNAcentral lists this ribosomal RNA (194 nucleotides) under uncultured eukaryote. RNAcentral describes it as "partial 18S ribosomal RNA". It matches the Rfam family "Eukaryotic small subunit ribosomal RNA", at positions 1 to 197 of the family's 1831-position model. The record is from RNAcentral.
UAAACCUGGUUGAUCCUGCCAGUAGUCAUAUGCUUGUCUUAAAGAUUAACCCAUGCAUGUGUAAGUAUAGUAUUCUACAGCGAAACUGCGAAUGGCUCAUUAAAACAGUUAUAGUUUAUUUGACAAUCGAAUUUACAUGGAUAACCGUGGUAAUUCUAGAGCUAAUACAUGCUGGUGUGCCCGACUUUUCGGAA